This 504-nucleotide ribosomal RNA is filed under the name uncultured bacterium. Its description in RNAcentral is "bacterial SSU rRNA". It matches the Rfam family "Bacterial small subunit ribosomal RNA", at positions 8 to 502 of the family's 1533-position model. The record is from RNAcentral.
AGAGUUUGAUCCUGGCUCAGAUUGAACGCUGGCGGCAUGCCUAACACAUGCAAGUCGAACGGAAACGAUGGGAGCUUGCUCCCAGGCGUCGAGUGGCGGACGGGUGAGUAAUACUUAGGAAUCUGCCCAUUAGUGGGGGACAACUCGAGGAAACUCGAGCUAAUACCGCAUACGCCCUACGGGGGAAAGCGGAGGACCUUUCGGGGCUUCGCGCUAAUGGAUGAGCCUAAGUCGGAUUAGCUAGUUGGUGGGGUAAAGGCCCACCAAGGCGACGAUCUAUAGCUGGUCUUAGAGGAUGAUCAGCCACACUGGAACUGAGACACGGUCCAGACUCCUACGGGAGGCAGCAGUAGGGAAUAUUGGACAAUGGGCGCAAGCCUGAUCCAGCCAUGCCGCGUGUGUGAAGAAGGCUCUAGGGUUGUAAAGCACUUUCAGUAGGGAGGAAAAGCUAGUAGUUAAUACCUGCUAGCCCUGACGUUACCUACAGAAGAAGCACCGCAAACU